Molecule: long non-coding RNA, 209 nt
Filed under: Musa acuminata (dwarf banana)
Lineage: Eukaryota; Viridiplantae; Streptophyta; Magnoliopsida; Zingiberales; Musaceae
Description: long non-coding RNA (MACU_LNC007055)
Source: RNAcentral
GAUGAUGAAGUCAAUUGUCAUUUGUUUGUCUAAUCUGUGUGUUGAGAUAAGUGUGCAGGAUUAACUACGAUGAAAGUAAGACAUGCAGCAGGAGUUGCGCCGGAGUCAUGACAAUGAUCACAUUGGGAGUUCGAGAGCUCGACGGAAGUUCGGACAGUCGUCGGAGGUUCUGCGGGAACAAAUCCGAGAAGUCCAGAAGCUUGCCAAAG